RNAcentral lists this ribosomal RNA (108 nucleotides) under Crocodylus porosus (Australian saltwater crocodile). The record is from RNAcentral. Lineage: Eukaryota; Metazoa; Chordata; Crocodylia; Crocodylidae.
AAAAGUAUCCAUACCAGACUGCAUGCAUCUGAUCUUGGGAGCUAAGCAGGGAUGGCCCUGCCUAGUAAUUUGAUGGUGACCGCCCUGGAAUCCCAGGUGCUGUUGAUA